Molecule: ribosomal RNA, 874 nt
Filed under: uncultured Thermoplasmata archaeon
Lineage: Archaea; Methanobacteriati; Thermoplasmatota; Thermoplasmata
Description: bacterial SSU rRNA
Rfam family: Archaeal small subunit ribosomal RNA
Source: RNAcentral
UUUCCGGUUGAUCCUGCCGGCGGCCACCGCUAUAGGAAUUCGAUUAAGACAUGCGAGUCGAGAGUCUUCGGGACUCGGCGGACUGCUCAGUAACACGUGGAUAACAUGCCCUUAGGAGGGGGAUAAUCUCGAGAAAUUGAGGAUAAUACCCCAUAGGCCAUGAAUGCUGGAAUGCUUUAUGGCCCAAAGCUCCGGCGCCUAAGGAUUGGUCUGCGGCCUAUCAGGUUGUAGUGGGUGUAACGGACCCACUAGCCUAUGACGGGUAUGGGCCUUGAGAGAGGGAGCCCAGAGAUGGACUCUGAGACACGAGUCCAGGCCCUACGGGGCGCAGCAGUCGCGAAACCUUCACACUGGGGGAAACCCUGAUGAGGGAAUUCCUAGUGCCUGCAUUUUUUGUAGGCUUUUAUCUAGUGUAGAUAGCUAGAAGAAUAAGGGCCGGGUAAGACGGGUGCCAGCCGCCGCGGUAAUACCCGCGGCCCAAGUGGUGGUCGAUAUUAUUGAGUCUAAAACGUCCGUAGCCGGUUCAGUAAAUCUUUGGGUAAAUCGGCCAGCUUAACUGACCGAAUUCCGAAGAGACUGCUGAACUUGGGACCGGGAGAGGCCAGAGGUACUUCUGGGGUAGGGGUAAAAUCCUGUAAUCCUAGAAGGACCACCGGUGGCGAAGGCGUCUAGCUAGAACGGAUCCGACGGUGAGGGACGAAGCCCUGGGGCGCAAACGGGAUUAGAUACCCCGGUAGUCCAGGGUGUAAACGCUGCAGGCUUGGUGUUGGGGGUCCUUCGGGGGCGCCCAGUGCCGGAGAGAAGUUGUUAAGCCUGCUACUUGGGGAGUACGUCCGCAAGGAUGAAACUUAAAGGAAUUGGCGGGGGAGCACAA